UACGUAGGUGGCAAGCGUUAUCCGGAUUUACUGGGUGUAAAGGGCGUGUAGGCGGGAUGGUAAGUCAGAUGUGAAAACUAUGGGCUCAACCCAUGGCCUGCAUUUGAAACUAUCGUUCUUGAGUGUUGGAGAGGCAGGCGGAAUUCCGUGUGUAGCGGUGAAAUGCGUAGAUAUACGGAGGAACACCAGUGGCGAAGGCAGCAUACCGGCGCCCGACUGACGCUGAGGCACGAAAGUGCGGGUAUCGAACAGG
Molecule: ribosomal RNA, 253 nt
Filed under: uncultured Oscillospira sp.
Lineage: Bacteria; Bacillati; Bacillota; Clostridia; Eubacteriales; Oscillospiraceae
Description: partial 16S ribosomal RNA
Rfam family: Bacterial small subunit ribosomal RNA
Source: RNAcentral